UUGAAUAAGACUUUAAUUGAGUGCUAAGAGAAUGGAAUUACAGGAAAAAUCUUUUUUAAACUUAACAAUUAAAGUUAUUUUUACUUGUGAAGAAACAGUAAUAAAAAUUAAGGACAAGAAGACCCUAAGAAUUUUUAGAAACAUAUUUCAAUAAAGAAGAUAUGUUUCUUUAAUUGGGGCGAUUAAUUAAUAUUAAAAACUUUUUUAAAAAAACAUGAACCGUUUAAUAGCGGUAAAUUGGUAAAAAUACUCUAGGCAUAACAG
Molecule: ribosomal RNA, 264 nt
Filed under: Amblyomma mixtum
Lineage: Eukaryota; Metazoa; Arthropoda; Arachnida; Ixodida; Ixodidae
Description: partial large subunit ribosomal RNA
Source: RNAcentral